GACGAACGCUGGCGGCGUGCUUAACACAUGCAAGUCGAACGAGUGGGAACGGGUGAGUAACACGUGGGUAACCUCCCAUCAGGGGGGAUAAUACUUGGAAACAGGUGCUAAACCGAUAUAGCUGGAUGGACUUGCGUGGCAUUAGCGAGUUGGUGAGGUAACGGCUCACCACGGCAACGAUGCAUAGCCGACCUGAGAGGAUGAUCGGCCACACUGGGACUGAGACACGGCCCAGACUCCUACGGGAGGCAGCAGUGGGGAAUCUUCGGCAAUGGGCGAAAGUCUGACGGAGCAACGCCGCGUGAGUGAAGAAGGUUUUCGGAUCGUAAAGCUCUGUUAUUAGAGAAGCGGUAUCUAAACAGGAAGCAACGGCUAACUCCGUGCCAGCAGCCGCGGUAAUAC
Molecule: ribosomal RNA, 402 nt
Filed under: uncultured bacterium
Lineage: Bacteria
Description: partial 16S ribosomal RNA
Rfam family: Bacterial small subunit ribosomal RNA
Source: RNAcentral